Molecule: ribosomal RNA, 124 nt
Filed under: Salmonella enterica subsp. enterica serovar Manhattan str. SA20034532
Lineage: Bacteria; Pseudomonadati; Pseudomonadota; Gammaproteobacteria; Enterobacterales; Enterobacteriaceae
Description: partial 16S ribosomal RNA
Rfam family: Bacterial small subunit ribosomal RNA
Source: RNAcentral
ACUUAAAUUGAAGAGUUUGAUCAUGGCUCAGAUUGAACGCUGGCGGCAGGCCUAACACAUGCAAGUCGAACGGUAACAGGAAGCAGCUUGCUGCUUCGCUGACGAGUGGCGGACGGGUGAGUAA